GGGGUUGUGGCUCAGUGGUAGAGUGCUCGCCUAGCACGUGAAAGUCCCUGAGUUUGAGCCUCUGCACCA
This 69-nucleotide transfer RNA is filed under the name Ictidomys tridecemlineatus (thirteen-lined ground squirrel). Its description in RNAcentral is "Spermophilus tridecemlineatus (thirteen-lined ground squirrel) tRNA". It matches the Rfam family "tRNA". From Rfam's summary of the family: Transfer RNA (tRNA) molecules are approximately 80 nucleotides in length. Their secondary structure includes four short double-helical elements and three loops (D, anti-codon, and T loops). Lineage: Eukaryota; Metazoa; Chordata; Mammalia; Rodentia; Sciuridae. The record is from Rfam by way of RNAcentral.